Molecule: ribosomal RNA, 484 nt
Filed under: uncultured bacterium
Lineage: Bacteria
Description: partial 16S ribosomal RNA
Rfam family: Bacterial small subunit ribosomal RNA
Source: RNAcentral
AUUGAACGCUGGCGGAAUGCUUUACACAUGCAAGUCGAGCGGCAGCGCGGCCUUCGGGCUGGCGGCGAGCGGCGAACGGGUGAGUAAUGCAUCGGAACAUGCCCAGUCGUGGGGGAUAACACUUCGAAAGAAGUGCUAAUACCGCAUACGUCCUGAGGGGGAAAGCAGGGGAUCGCAAGACCUCGCGCGAUUGGAGUGGCCGAUGUCAGAUUAGCUAGUUGGUGGGGUAAAGGCCUACCAAGGCGACGAUCUGUAGCUGGUCUGAGAGGAUGAUCAGCCACACUGGGACUGAGACACGGCCCAGACUCCUACGGGAGGCAGCAGUGGGGAAUUUUGGACAAUGGGGGCAACCCUGAUCCAGCCAUUCCGCGUGAGUGAAGAAGGCCUUCGGGUUGUAAAGCUCUUUCGGCAGGAACGAAACGGUGGGCUCUAACAUAGUCCGCUAAUGACGGUACCUGAAGAAGAAGCACCGGCUAACUACGUG